CCUUCCACCUCGCGUACGCACCACAGAAUAGAAGAGGGAGUGAGAGCCGACCAAGUCAGUGAGGGACAGGGAAAAAGAAACGAGAGACAGAGGACGAGAGGGGAGCGACCGAUCCCAAAGAAAACGACCACGAGCCUAAGUCACUGGGCGACGAACCUAGGCACCCCUCUAGACGAAAAAAGUCCGUACCAGACGGGACAAAUAGCAAAGGGCCCACGAGGCACACACGGUCAACGUAAACGACCGGUUGUGUACAUGUAGGGGACGUUAGACUCUUUACAGAAUCGACUCAUAUAACUCCUCAUCUCUCUGCUCCGAUCCUGAGACGUCAAGUUCUUCCGCCUCGGACUUGAAGAAUCCAAACUUUCGUCCUGAAUGGGUCGGUGUAAGUUCGUGGCUCGUUUGAUGUCGUUCAAACAACCAUCAAGUACCAAACUGAAGUGGGUACUGAUACCGGACACACGACCUCUAGACACAAAUGCGGCCUGGUAGACUGAAAACUACACUUCUCGGUUUGGAUGGCACCACCACUUUCUUAAGAGGGAGACGGAAUAAAUUCAAUAGAGUUACAAAAAACUUUGAAAGCACUUACAAUCAAUAAAAUUAAUUAGUUCAACGUUCUGAUAAAUAAACUACAAAAAGACAUCGAAAACUUUUGGAUAGGCUACGGUUAAUACUCAUACGAUAAAUACAACAUAACGGCGCGUUCAACAACAAGUUGAUGGUAUUCUUGGCGAUGAAUGAGGUAACAGAAAACAACCCGUUAAAGGACGCCACACACGGAAAGUAGGUACAGUACUGAGGGUGAUUGUGUUAGUUCUUAUAGUACUUUUAAGGUUUUUAACAACACAGUUCGAACUUCUCUAAGUACCUACAGGGAGAUUCACGUAGACAGUGAGAACUUAUAGACCUACUUCCACACGUGCAGUAGUGCAGUAAAGUAUGUGAAACACGUCUGUUCUACCCUCCUACUACAAGCUCUUCUGUUCAAAGUUACUCAAGUAUAGUCGUCGAAGAAACCCACUUCUGUUACAACACGAGUAGUGUAAGUUUCUUGCGUUACUAGCGAGUCAAAGACAACACAAGGUCGCCGAGUACGUCCACCUCACAACGCGCAAAUCUCAGACUUGAAAUCUAGCAACUUUGGGCUUGAAAAAAUACACAUUAAUAGAUACUGAGAUACCAAUCAACAGAUCUACUGACAAACUACUAUCUCCAUCACCACGGAGAUGCAUAGGUUCAAGUCUGAAAUAUGAAAACCUACGUUCCUAAUGGCUUGCCAUAUAGAAAACUACCAAUUAUACAGUUCAAAAUUCCUUGACAUACCAACUUUA
Molecule: ribosomal RNA, 1334 nt
Filed under: Triticum aestivum (bread wheat)
Lineage: Eukaryota; Viridiplantae; Streptophyta; Magnoliopsida; Poales; Poaceae
Description: partial small subunit ribosomal RNA
Source: RNAcentral